RNAcentral lists this ribosomal RNA (529 nucleotides) under Escherichia coli. RNAcentral's name for it is "partial 23S ribosomal RNA". It matches the Rfam family "Bacterial large subunit ribosomal RNA", at positions 333 to 867 of the family's 2925-position model. The record is from RNAcentral. Lineage: Bacteria; Pseudomonadati; Pseudomonadota; Gammaproteobacteria; Enterobacterales; Enterobacteriaceae.
UGGAAGCGUCUGGAAAGGCGCGCGAUACAGGGUGACAGCCCCGUACACAAAAAUGCACAUAUUGUGAGCUCGAUGAGUAGGGCGGGACACGUGGUAUCCUGUCUGAAUAUGGGGGGACCAUCCUCCAAGGCUAAAUACUCCUGACUGACCGAUAGUGAACCAGUACCGUGAGGGAAAGGCGAAAAGAACCCCGGCGAGGGGAGUGAAAAAGAACCUGAAACCGUGUACGUACAAGCAGUGGGAGCCUCUUUUAUGGGGUGACUGCGUACCUUUUGUAUAAUGGGUCAGCGACUUAUAUUCUGUAGCAAGGUUAACCGAAUAGGGGAGCCGAAGGGAAACCGAGUCUUAACUGGGCGUUAAGUUGCAGGGUAUAGACCCGAAACCCGGUGAUCUAGCCAUGGGCAGGUUGAAGGUUGGGUAACACUAACUGGAGGACCGAACCGACUAAUGUUGAAAAAUUAGCGGAUGACUUGUGGCUGGGGGUGAAAGGCCAAUCAAACCGGGAGAUAGCUGGUUCUCCCCGAAAGCU